AACGAACGCUGGCGGCAUGCCUAACACAUGCAAGUCGAACGAGACCUUCGGGUCUAGUUGCGCACGGGUGCGUAACGCGUGGGAACCUGCCCUUAGGUUCGGAAUAACUCCCCGAAAGGGGUGCUAAUACCGGAUAAUGGCUUCGGACCAAAGAUUUAUCGGCUUUGGAUGGGCCCGCGUUGGAUUAGCUAGUUGGUAGGGUAAAAGCCUACAAAGGCGACGAUCCAUAGCUGGUCUGAGAGGAUGAUCAGCCACACUGGGACUGAGACACGGCCCAGACUCCUACGGGAGGCAGCAGUGAGGAAUAUUGGACAAUGGGCGAAAGCCUGAUGCAGCAAUGCCGCGUGAGUGAUGAAGGCCUUAGGGUUGUAAAGCUCUUUUACCAGGGAUGAUAAUGACAGUACCGGGAGAAUAAGCUCCGGCUAACUCCGUG
RNAcentral lists this ribosomal RNA (433 nucleotides) under uncultured bacterium. RNAcentral's name for it is "partial 16S ribosomal RNA". It matches the Rfam family "Bacterial small subunit ribosomal RNA", at positions 29 to 507 of the family's 1533-position model. The record is from RNAcentral.